This 165-nucleotide ribosomal RNA is filed under the name uncultured bacterium. RNAcentral describes it as "partial 16S ribosomal RNA". It matches the Rfam family "Bacterial small subunit ribosomal RNA", at positions 338 to 495 of the family's 1533-position model. The record is from RNAcentral.
CCUACGGGAGGCAGCAGUGGGGAAUAUUGGACAAUGGGCGCAAGCCUGAUCCAGCCAUGCCGCGUGUGUGAAGAAGGUCUUCGGAUUGUAAAGCACUUUAAGUUGGGAGGAAGGGCAGUAAGCGAAUACCUCGCUGUUUUGACGUUACCGUCAGAAUAAGCCCCG